GCCAAGUCCAAGAAUCACACUACACACAACUAGAACAGAAAUGGCAUCAAGAAAACCCUAUGUCAAAGAUGUAAAUCUCUUAAAAGGGUGGGCCCCAAGUUCCUGAGGAACAUGCACUUUGCUAAGAAGCACAAGAAGGGCCAGAAGAAGACGCAGGUCAAUGAUGUCAGGGCCACGAGUGAAUCAACUGAGGCUGUCAGGGCCUUUGUGAAGUCCAAGGAGGUCAAGACCAAGAUCCCAAAGGGCAUUAGGUGCAAACUCAAUCAACUUGCCUGCACUGACCACCCCAAGCUCAGGAAGUGUGCUCAUCCCUGCAUCACCAAGGGUUUCAGGUUCUGCUGGCCAAAGUCAAAGACCAGGGCUCAAACCAAGCACCAGGUGUGGCUCUGUCUCCAGCUCAGGCUCCCAAAUGUGGCCAGGCCUCCACCAAAGCU
Molecule: long non-coding RNA, 434 nt
Filed under: Homo sapiens (human)
Lineage: Eukaryota; Metazoa; Chordata; Mammalia; Primates; Hominidae
Description: non-protein coding lnc-NFE2L2-7:1
Source: RNAcentral